AUUUAUUGUAAAUGAUUAUAAAAACUCUAAAUAAUUAUUAUGUUGUUAUUAUGAAUGAAAUUAUUAUUACGAAGUUAUUGUAGAUUUUAGUUCAUUUAGGAUUUAUUUGCAUAAUUAUUCAUCCAAAAGUACCACCCUUACCUUAUUAUUCGAAUAUAUGUGGAUAAAUAUACUUAUUACUAUGAAGACCCAAUUUUUCAGUUUGGGCUGCAUAUUAUCAACCCAAAGGGAUUUAUUUCAUUUGGGUCGUUCAUUCAACUGUGCGCCGCCGCGAUCAACCAAAUUCCGAUCAUCUUCCUUUUCCAGUCACCUCUGUAUGGAUUUAUGAAUUAACAUCAAUUGGAAGCUUGAGAGAGACUCUUUGAAACCUCAAGGUCUGGAAAUCUGCAGAGAGAGAGAGAGAGAGAGUCAAGUGGUAAAAGAAAAGAAAGAAAUUUGAUAUUAGUACUUGGACUAGAAGCAUUAGUAAUGUAUAGUAUAGGUGGGAAGUGAAAAUCUCACAGCCUACAACAUAGUUUAUGAAGCUGCAUUUUUAGCAAAUUUUAUAGACAAGAAAUUCAUCUUUGUAAAAACACUUAGAAAAGGAAGAGAAAGCAAAGUCAUGUCGUAUAUGCAGCCGCUGCCUUCGGUGCCAACUGAUUACACCUCCGUUCUUGUGCAAUAACAUGAAAGUCACAAUGAAAUUAUAUCACAUUUCGGAUAGUUUAUGUGGGUAUUUUAUUUUAUAAUAACAGACAUUGCAUGAAUUAAUUCAUUGUAUUAAGGAGAGUGAAAUUCGCAGCCGCGCAUACAAACAGUAUUCUCACAUAUUCGUGCAAGCUGCAACCUUAGAAUUCAAAGCAGUAUUUGAAUUGUUCUAUAAGUUAACUGUAAAUUGAUGUUUGCUCGAGGGAAAAAAAAAAAUCAUCACAAUCAAUUGACAGAUGUAAGAAAUUUAGGUAUCUGAAUCAACUGAUCCACUCAGCAUUAUCUGGCUUCUUGGUUUCCUUUGGAAAAAUUCUCUGCAGACAUAACAUGGUACCAUCUGUAAGGGCGACGACAGUAGGAUCUUGAUGCAUACUGAAAACCUCGCAUGGCUGGUUUUGAUGGAGACUGUGGAUGCACGAGAAAGAGGGUGAAUUCCAUCCACGAACAGCAUCUAAGUCGGCUUCCUCUUCCUCCCAAGUACAGAAGCUACUUGAAAUCUAGGUCCACCCAUCUGCCACUUCUUGAAUGCAGCUAUUGAGGAUUGACCGGCUUCAUACACUUCAAAAAUAAGUGGAGAAAAUAGGUCAUUAGGAACAGAUCCUUUAACUGGAGAACGAAAAUGAGUAAAUGAGAAUAAGGAACUUUCAAUUUUGCCGAGACAACGAAACGCAGCUCAGUUGGUAAGACGCUUCCCCUCUAAUCAAUAGGUCGGGGUUCGAGUCACCACGGGGGGAAAUGGGGAACCAUUACUGAUCCUUUUAAAUAAUAAUAAUAAUAAUCAU
Long non-coding RNA from Salvia miltiorrhiza (redroot sage), 1469 nucleotides. RefSeq lists it as uncharacterized. The transcript has 2 exons. The record is from RefSeq and is a predicted model, not a curated record. Lineage: Eukaryota; Viridiplantae; Streptophyta; Magnoliopsida; Lamiales; Lamiaceae.